CAGGAAGGGGAGGAUGAAGAGGGAAGAGAUUCUGAGAAAGGCGCCCUGGUGCAUCCCGAGGAGAAUUCCCAGAUUUCCCAGCUGGGCCCGCGGCUCCCGGCCGGGAGGAAAUCCCAGGAGCGGCAGAAGAAGCGGCACCGGGACCGGAUGGUGGAGAGGAUCCAGUUCGUCUGCUCGCUGUGCAAGUUCCGGACGUUUUUCGAGGAUGAGAUCCGGCAGCACCUGGAGAGCAAAUUCCACCGGGAGCACGUCGGGUUCGUGGGAGCGCGGCUGGCCCCGGGCAGGGCGCGCUUCCUGCAGGUGCCUUCAUCAGCAUCCUCCUCUUCCUCAUCUUCCUCAUCAUCAUCCUCAUCUUCCUCUUUAUCCUCCUCAUCCUCAUCUUCCUCCUCCUCUUCCCCUUCCUGCUUUUCCUUCCCCUUUUCCCNNNNNNNNNNUCCUCCUCAUCUUUCUCAUCCUCAUCUUCCUCAUCCAUCUCCUCCUCUUCCUCUUCUUCCUCCUCUCCUUUUCCUGCUUUUCCUCUUCCUGCUUUUCCGGGUUUCCCUCUCCCCUUUUCCCAUUUCCAGUUCGUGGCACACAGCUCCACCCACGCACGGCGCGCUUCCUCCAGGUGCCUUCAUCAUCAUCUUCCUCAUCCUCAUUCUCCUUAUCCUCAUCCUCUUCCUCAUCUUCUUCUUUAUCCUCCUCUUCCUCUUCCUGCUUUUCCUUGCC
This 708-nucleotide long non-coding RNA is filed under the name Chloebia gouldiae (Gouldian finch). RNAcentral describes it as "Erythrura gouldiae (Gouldian finch) lncRNA (ENSEGOG00005017481.1)". Lineage: Eukaryota; Metazoa; Chordata; Aves; Passeriformes; Passeridae. The record is from RNAcentral.